GACGAACGCUGGCGGCGUGCUUAACACAUGCAAGUCGAACGGAAAGGCCCUGCUUUUGUGGGGUGCUCGAGUGGCGAACGGGUGAGUAACACGUGAGUAACCUGCCCUUGACUUUGGGAUAACUUCAGGAAACUGGGGCUAAUACCGGGUAGGAGCUCCUGCUGCAUGGUGGGGGUUGGAAAGUUUCGGCGGUUGUGGAUGGAUUCGCGGCUUAUCAGCUUGAUGGUGGGGUAGUGGCUUACCAAGGCUUUGACGGGUAGCCGGCCUGAGAGGGUGACCGGCCACCUUGGGACUGCGAUACGGCCCAGACUCCUACGGGCGGCAGCAGUGGGGAAUCUUGCGCAAUGGGCGGAAGCCUGAUGCAGCAACGCCGCGUGCGGGAUGCCGGCCUUCGGGUUGUAAACCGCUUUCGCCUGUGACGAAGCGUGAGUGACGGUAAUGGGUAAAGAAGCACCGGCUAACUACGUG
Molecule: ribosomal RNA, 468 nt
Filed under: uncultured bacterium
Lineage: Bacteria
Description: partial 16S ribosomal RNA
Rfam family: Bacterial small subunit ribosomal RNA
Source: RNAcentral